GACGAACGCUGGCGGCGUGCUUAACACAUGCAAGUCGAGCGGUAAGGCCCUUUCGGGGUACACGAGCGCGAACGGGUGAGUAACACGUGGGUGACCUGCCCUCAGCUCUGGGAUAAAGCCCGGGAAACUGGGUCUAAUACUGGAUAUGACUCCAUGACGCAUGUUGUGGGGUGGAAAGCCUUGUGCGGCUGGGGAUGGGCCCGCGGCCUAUCAGCUUGUUGGUGGGGGAUGGCCUACCAAGGCGACGACGGGUAGCCGGCCUGAGAGGGCGACCGGCCACACUGGGACUGAGACACGGCCCAGACUCCUACGGGAGGCAGCAGUGGGGAAUCUUGCGCAAUGGGCGAAAGCCUGACGCAGCGA
This 363-nucleotide ribosomal RNA is filed under the name uncultured bacterium. RNAcentral's name for it is "bacterial SSU rRNA". It matches the Rfam family "Bacterial small subunit ribosomal RNA", at positions 28 to 394 of the family's 1533-position model. The record is from RNAcentral.